Molecule: unclassified non-coding RNA, 261 nt
Filed under: Hevea brasiliensis (rubber tree)
Lineage: Eukaryota; Viridiplantae; Streptophyta; Magnoliopsida; Malpighiales; Euphorbiaceae
Source: RNAcentral
GGUUACCGAUGUUGAUUGGCCCAGUGUUAUCCCCUUCCAUUAGACGGAUAAGUCCAUCAACCAUAUCAGAGACAUAACAGAAACUGCGAGUCUGUGUCCCGGGAGCUUGAACAGUUAAUGGUUCAUCCCGAAGUGAUUGAGCUAUAAAGUUGCUGACUACACGCCCAUCGUCAAUAUUCAUACGAGGUCCAUAAGUGUUGAAAAUUCUAGCAAUUCGUAUUUCAAUCCCAUGCUGCCGGUGGUAGUCAAACAUCAAUGUCU